The sequence is a ribosomal RNA, 391 nucleotides long. It matches the Rfam family "Eukaryotic small subunit ribosomal RNA", at positions 30 to 432 of the family's 1831-position model.
GCUUGUCUCAAAGAUUAAGCCAUGCAUGUCUAAGUAUAAACAAAUCUAUACUGUGAAACUGCGAAUGGCUCAUUAUAUCAGUUAUAGUUUAUUUGAUGGUCCUUGCUACUUGGAUAACCGUAGUAAUUCUAGAGCUAAUACAUGCAUCAAACCCCGACUUCUGGAAGGGGUGUAUUUAUUAGAUUGAAACCAAUGCGGGUUCCCCGGUAUUUGGUGAUUCAUAAUAACUUUCGGAUCGACUUCGGUCGAUGCAUCAUUCAAGUUUCUGCCCUAUCAGCUUUGGAUGGUAGGGUAUUGGCCUACCAUGGCUUUAACGGGUAACGGAGAAUUAGGGUUCGAUUCCGGAGAGGGAGCCUGAGAAACGGCUACCACAUCCAAGGAAGGCAGCAGG